AUUGCGUAUUUGUUACAAAAUAAAAAAAAACACUCAAAGAGGUGAAGGUCUCCUGGUGAUUAUGUUGCGGUGUAAAAGAAAAGUUUAGUGAUUUUUUCCCAAGCUAACAACAGAACAGAUCAGAUAUGGCCAUAGAAUUGGGUUUCCCAGCCAUAGCUAUUGGCAUUGUUGUGGUUGCAGCGACUGCUAUACUUGCCAAGACUUACAUCUAUGACAAAAAGACGAAAAAAUCACCAGUCGAUCAAUUAAAACAAGACUUAAAAAAAACUGGGAAAAAAAUAGAGAAAGCGGUUGACAAAGUAGUAAAGGAUUUAAAGGACAAGUGCAAGGAUUGAUUUAAACAUUUGUAUUAUACUUUUGAAGUUAAACAAAAAUCAGACAUGCCUCUGUUUGAACAGUUUAUUUAUAAAAUUGAGGAUAAAUAAAACAUUUACUUUU
This is a long non-coding RNA of Mytilus californianus (California mussel), 438 nucleotides long. RefSeq lists it as uncharacterized. The record is from RefSeq and is a predicted model, not a curated record. The transcript is spliced from 3 exons. NCBI's taxonomy places the organism in Eukaryota, Metazoa, Mollusca, Bivalvia, Mytilida, Mytilidae.